RNAcentral lists this ribosomal RNA (253 nucleotides) under uncultured bacterium. Its description in RNAcentral is "partial 16S ribosomal RNA". It matches the Rfam family "Bacterial small subunit ribosomal RNA", at positions 524 to 776 of the family's 1533-position model. The record is from RNAcentral.
UACGUAGGGCGCAAGCGUUGUCCGGAAUUAUUGGGCGUAAAGAGCUCGUAGGCGGUUUGUCGCGUCUGUCGUGAAAGCCCACGGCUUAACCGUGGGUCUGCGGUGGAUACGGGCAGACUAGAGGCAGGUAGGGGAGAGUGGAAUUCCCGGUGUAGCGGUGAAAUGCGCAGAUAUCGGGAGGAACACCGGUGGCGAAGGCGGUUCUCUGGGCCUGUACUGACGCUGAGGAGCGAAAGCGUGGGGAGCGAACAGG